Molecule: ribosomal RNA, 621 nt
Filed under: uncultured bacterium
Lineage: Bacteria
Description: bacterial SSU rRNA
Rfam family: Bacterial small subunit ribosomal RNA (bases 1-516)
Source: RNAcentral
CCUACGGGAGGCAGCAGUGGGGAAUCUUGCGCAAUGGGCGAAAGCCUGACGCAGCCAUGCCGCGUGAAUGAUGAAGGUCUUAGGAUUGUAAAAUUCUUUCACCGGGGACGAUAAUGACGGUACCCGGAGAAGAAGCCCCGGCUAACUUCGUGCCAGCAGCCGCGGUAAUACGAAGGGGGCUAGCGUUGCUCGGAAUUACUGGGCGUAAAGGGAGCGUAGGCGGAUAGUUUAGUCAGAGGUGAAAGCCCAGGGCUCAACCUUGGAAUUGCCUUUGAUACUGGCUAUCUUGAGUACGGAAGAGGUAUGUGGAACUCCGAGUGUAGAGGUGAAAUUCGUAGAUAUUCGGAAGAACACCAGUGGCGAAGGCGACAUACUGGUCCGUUACUGACGCUGAGGCUCGAAAGCGUGGGGAGCAAACAGGAUUAGAUACCCUGGUAGUCCACGCUGUAAACGAUGAGUGCUAGUUGUCGGCAUGCAUGCAUGUCGGUGACGCAGCUACGACAUAAGUACGACGUCCGCCGUCGGGAGGUACGGUCGGCGAAGUAAGUUAAACGUUAACUUAAAGUUAGUAAGUUAGUUACGGCGUUGAGACGUGCCGACGGACGACGACGAGGGAGGAGG